UGGGUACCAACACACGUGGUCCUGUGUGA
This 29-nucleotide non-coding RNA is filed under the name Homo sapiens (human). Lineage: Eukaryota; Metazoa; Chordata; Mammalia; Primates; Hominidae. The record is from RNAcentral.